CAGUAGCCACGGUAAUACAGAGGGUGCGAGCGUUAAUCGGAUUUACUGGGCGUAAAGCGUGCGUAGGCGGCUUUUUAAGUCGGAUGUGAAAUCCCUGAGCUUAACUUAUGAAUUGCAUUCGAUACUGGGAAGCUAGAGUAUGGGAGAGGAUGGUAGAAUUCCAGGUGUAGCGGUGAAAUGCGUAGAGAUCUGGAGGAAUACCGAUGGCGAAGGCAGCCAUCUGGCCUAAUACUGACGCUGAGGUACGAAAGCAUGGGGAGCAAACAGGAUUAGAUACCCCUGUAGUCCCUGUCUCUUAUAC
This 301-nucleotide ribosomal RNA is filed under the name uncultured bacterium. RNAcentral's name for it is "partial 16S ribosomal RNA". It matches the Rfam family "Bacterial small subunit ribosomal RNA", at positions 509 to 807 of the family's 1533-position model. The record is from RNAcentral.